This 468-nucleotide ribosomal RNA is filed under the name uncultured bacterium. RNAcentral describes it as "partial 16S ribosomal RNA". It matches the Rfam family "Bacterial small subunit ribosomal RNA", at positions 28 to 507 of the family's 1533-position model. The record is from RNAcentral.
GACGAACGCUGGCGGCGUGCUUAACACAUGCAAGUCGAACGGAAAGGCCCUGCUUUUGUGGGGUGCUCGAGUGGCGAACGGGUGAGUAACACGUGAGUAAUCUGCCCUUGACUUUGGGAUAACUUCAGGAAACUGGGGCUAAUACCGGAUAGGAGCUCCUGCUGCAUGGUGGGGGUUGGAAAGUUUCGGCGGUUGGGGAUGGACUCGCGGCUUAUCAGCUUGUUGGUGGGGUAGUGGCUUACCAAGGCUUUGACGGGUAGCCGGCCUGAGAGGGUGACCGGCCACAUUGGGACUGAGAUACGGCCCAGACUCCUACGGGAGGCAGCAGUGGGGAAUAUUGCACAAUGGGCGGAAGCCUGAUGCAGCAACGCCGCGUGCGGGAUGACGGCCUUCGGGUUGUAAACCGCUUUCGCCUGUGACGAAGCGCGAGUGACGGUAAUGGGUAAAGAAGCACCGGCUAACUACGUG